This is a long non-coding RNA of Scomber japonicus (chub mackerel), 379 nucleotides long. RefSeq lists it as uncharacterized. NCBI's taxonomy places the organism in Eukaryota, Metazoa, Chordata, Actinopteri, Scombriformes, Scombridae. The transcript is spliced from 3 exons. The record is from RefSeq and is a predicted model, not a curated record.
CAUAUUCCACCAUCAGACUGGAAGAACUCAAAGGAGCUGACAGAGUCAUCUAGAUCAGUAGAAAUCUUGCUGUUUCAAACCUUCCUAAGAUGAAGACCUUCAGCGUUGCAGUUGCAGUGGCCAUUAUGCUCACCUUCAUUUGCAUUCAAGAGAACUCUGCUGUCCCAGUCGUUGGAGUGCAGGAAAUAGAGGAGAUGAUGAGCCAUGACAGUCCAGUUCCAGACUCGGGGAAGGUGCUGCCCAGGCAGAAGCGGGCAUACUGUUUCCGUUGCUGUGACAGCGGCGUCUGCAGAACGUGCUGUUAUGCAUGAAGUUAAACUACUCGAAUUAUUGGAGAUACUACAGUGCAUUAUCACAAUAAAUGUCAAUAUCCCUGUAA